AGAGUUUGAUCCUGGCUCAGGAUGAACGCUGGCGGCGUGCUUAACACAUGCAAGUCGAACGGAGUUUUUAACGGAAGUUUCGGAUGGAAGUUUAAGAACUUAGUGGCGGACGGGUGAGUAACGCGUGGGUAACCUGCCUCAUACAGGGGGAUAACAGUUAGAAAUGACUGCUAACACCGCAUAAUAUAGUGAAACCGCAUGAUUUUUGCUAUCAAAUAUUUAUAGGUAUGAGAUGGGCCCGCGUCUGAUUAGCUAGUUGGUGGGGUAAAAGCCUACCAAGGCGACGAUCAGUAGCCGGCUUGAGAGAGUGACCGGCCACAUUGGGACUGAGACACGGCCCAAACUCCUACGGGAGGCAGCAGUGGGGAAUAUUGGACAAUGGGGGAAACCCUGAUCCAGCGAACCGCCGCGUGAGUGAAGAAGUAUUUCGGUAUGUAAAGCUCUAUCAGCAGGGAAGAUAAUGACAGUACCUGACUAAGAAGCCCCGGCUAACUACGUGCCAGCCGCAGC
RNAcentral lists this ribosomal RNA (510 nucleotides) under uncultured bacterium. RNAcentral's name for it is "bacterial SSU rRNA". It matches the Rfam family "Bacterial small subunit ribosomal RNA", at positions 8 to 518 of the family's 1533-position model. The record is from RNAcentral.